Molecule: long non-coding RNA, 1269 nt
Filed under: Ananas comosus (pineapple)
Lineage: Eukaryota; Viridiplantae; Streptophyta; Magnoliopsida; Poales; Bromeliaceae
Description: long non-coding RNA (ACOM_LNC033430)
Source: RNAcentral
CAUGAGUAUAGCCAAGCGUCUCGCCUCCCACGCGUUUCGCUCCCGCGACUCCAUCCGCACGCCUCAAGCGUCGAGGUCCGGGCUUCGCGACAUCGCAUGCCACGAAGGGCACUCAUAACCAUAAGUUCCUUCAUGUCUUGCCUUAUGCGCCUGACAACGCCCAUGGCCAUACCGCCUAUGCGGCCUGCUCGCUCGGUCCAACGGCUUACCUCCGAAAAGCCACCCAAGUGUGCGCCACAAGCUUGCUUGCCCCCAACAUCAGCACCUCAGUGCGACACCCCGCACGUCCAUGCUUCGCACCUCCGUGCUUCGCAUCCGACCCGUGCGGCCCUCGUGUCCCAUCGCUCCUGACAAGGGAACCAACAAGUCCAUACCGUGCUUCUCGACCGUCUCAACGACCCUCGCUUUGCCACGGCGCUCCGCGCCCUUGACCCCCAUAGGUUCGCCUCAUAAGGCCCCAUACAAACGAACCGGCCUCACUCCGCAUCGCUAGCCACUGGCCCCUCCUUGGCUCGACCACGCCUGGCCGCUUACACCAUUGGUCCAGUCUCUCAAGGUUCACUAUACGGAUACCGAUACCGCUUGCCUCCUUGGGUUCCGCCCCUCGAGUCUCGUAGGCCACCCACCUUACGAAUUCUCCCUCGGCGUGCCUCCCUUUAGCGUUCCUAUUGAGUCCCGCCUCCUUGGCCUUCGUGGGCGCCGCGCCCCACGAAUCCCCGCUCGGCACACUUGCCUUCGCGAGCCUUGUCCUUUACGGAGGACCGUCCGUCGCUAGACUAUCCCUCAUCCGCUCGUACGCUCCACUACAGAGAUCCAAGCCGGCAUAAGGUAGCGCAAGCGAUCCUAGGGAGGAAGCCUCCCGGUAUUCCCCGCUUCCGUAAUGUCGUCGACCUCUCGCGUCUCCGACAUUACCCUAGGCCCGUGUCCCUUCAACCGUCCAUUAACCGGCUACACGGAACGCUAGGCUUGGCUACUCCGCUAGCCAAGGGACGACCCAUGUCCUAUGGGUCGACAAGGGAGUCGGGGACCCAUGUCCUAUGGGUCGACGGGGGAGUCGGGGCCACUUACGAAGUGUCCACCCCUCCUCUAAUACCCUUACGAGGCAUCCACUCCUUUGGCACCCCGGGGGUACAAAGGUGCUCACCGAGGGGUAUGUUUUCAAGCCCUGCAUGCGGCACCUAUUUCCAAGUCAUGGCACGGGCCAUUGCUAGGGAAUUGCCUCCGUUGACUUGACAGCGACUCCUACCUGACGGAACGCCUCAACUCCGC